UACGAGGGGAGCAAGCGUUGUUCGGAUUUACUGGGCGUAAAGGGCGCGUAGGCGGCCACCGCAAGUCGACUGUGAAAUCUCCGGGCUUAACCCGGAAAGGUCAGCCGAUACUGCGGGGCUAGAGUGCAGAAGGGGCAACUGGAAUUCUCGGUGUAGCGGUGAAAUGCGUAGAUAUCGAGAGGAACACCUGCGGCGAAGGCGGGUUGCUGGGCUGACACUGACGCUGAGGCGCGAAAGCUAGGGGAGCGAACGGG
RNAcentral lists this ribosomal RNA (254 nucleotides) under uncultured bacterium. RNAcentral describes it as "partial 16S ribosomal RNA". It matches the Rfam family "Bacterial small subunit ribosomal RNA", at positions 524 to 776 of the family's 1533-position model. The record is from RNAcentral.